GUGUUCACUUUAGCAGGACAUGUGCUAAAACUGGAACAAUAGAGAAGAUUUAGCAUGGCUCCUGCACAAGGAUGACACAGUACAUUGGUGAGUUGUUCCAUAUUUUU
Vulpes vulpes (red fox) is the source of this 107-nucleotide small nuclear RNA. NCBI's taxonomy places the organism in Eukaryota, Metazoa, Chordata, Mammalia, Carnivora, Canidae. The record is from Ensembl.